GACGAACGCUGGCGGCGUGCCUAAUACAUGCAAGUAGAACGCUGAAGGAGGAGCUUGCUUCUCUGGAUGAGUUGCGAACGGGUGAGUAACGCGUAGGUAACCUGCCUGGUAGCGGGGGAUAACUAUUGGAAACGAUAGCUAAUACCGCAUAAUAGCAGUUAUUGCAUGAUAACUGUUUGAAAGGUGCAAUUGCACCACUACCAGAUGGACCUGCGUUGUAUUAGCUAGUUGGUGGGGUAACGGCUCACCAAGGCGACGAUACAUAGCCGACCUGAGAGGGGGAUCGGCCCCACUGGGACUGAGACACGGCCCAGACUCCUACGGGAGGCAGCAGUAGGGAAUCUUCGGCAAUGGACGGAAGUCUGACCGAGCAACGCCGCGUGAGUGAAGAAGGUUUUCGGAUCGUAAAGCUCUGUUGUAAGAGAAGAACGGGUGUGAGAGUGGAAAGUUCACACUGUGACGGGAUCUUACCAGAAAGGGACGGCAAACUACGU
This 494-nucleotide ribosomal RNA is filed under the name uncultured bacterium. Its description in RNAcentral is "partial 16S ribosomal RNA". It matches the Rfam family "Bacterial small subunit ribosomal RNA", at positions 28 to 506 of the family's 1533-position model. The record is from RNAcentral.